AUGAACGCUGGCGGCGUGCCUAAUACAUGCAAGUCGAGCGAACGGACGAGAAGCUUGCUUUUCUGAUGUUAGCGGCGGACGGGUGAGUAACACGUGGAUAACCUACCUAUAAGACUGGGAUAACUUCGGGAAACCGGAGCUAAUACCGGAUAAUAUUUUGAACCGCAUGGUUCAAAAGUGAAAGACGGUCUUGCUGUCACUUAUAGAUGGAUCCGCGCUGCAUUAGCUAGUUGGUAAGGUAACGGCUUACCAAGGCAACGAUGCAUAGCCGACCUGAGAGGGCGAUCGGCCACACUGGAACUGAGACACGGUCCAGACUCCUACGGGAGGCAGCAGUAGGGAAUCUUCCGCAAAGGGCGAAAGCCUGACGGAGCAACGCCGCGUGAGUGAUGAAGGUCUUCGGAUCGUAAAACUCUGUUAUUAGGGAAGAACAUAUGUGUAAGUAACUGUGCACAUCUUGACGGUACCUAAUCAGAAAGCCACGGCUAACUACGUG
This 496-nucleotide ribosomal RNA is filed under the name uncultured bacterium. RNAcentral describes it as "partial 16S ribosomal RNA". It matches the Rfam family "Bacterial small subunit ribosomal RNA", at positions 29 to 507 of the family's 1533-position model. The record is from RNAcentral.